CCCUUCCCCAAGAGCCAGCAGCAGCGAGCCAUGGCCACCUCGACCGCCGCCGUGCUGUCCCCGCCGUCCGUCGCCGGGCUCCGCCUGGCGCCGUCGCCCAGGGCGCGCGUGUCGUUCCGGGCCACGCCGGCGCGGCGGUCCGUGGCGGCGCGGGCGGAGCUGAGCCCGUCGCUGGUGAUCAGCCUCAGCACCGGCGUGUCGCUCUUCCUGGGCCGCUUCGUCUUCUUCAACUUCCAGCGGGAGAACGUGGCGAAGCAGGUCCCCGAGCAGAACGGCAAGACGCACUUCGACGCCGGCGACGAGCGGGCCAAGGAGUACGCCGGCCUGCUCAAGUCCAACGACCCCGUGGGGUUCAACCUCGUCGACGUCCUCGCCUGGGGCUCGCUCGGCCACAUCGUCGCCUACUACAUCCUCGCCACCUCCAGCAACGGAUACGACCCCAACUUCUUCUGAGCGACGGGCGCGUUCGUUCUUGCUGUAAUCUGCUCGGCGUGUUGGUGUUACUGCGUUGUAUCUGAUGCCGGAAAGAUUGGUUAAUUUGGACAAGUAGUG
Molecule: long non-coding RNA, 552 nt
Filed under: Setaria italica (foxtail millet)
Lineage: Eukaryota; Viridiplantae; Streptophyta; Magnoliopsida; Poales; Poaceae
Description: long non-coding RNA (SITA_LNC001457)
Source: RNAcentral